This 257-nucleotide ribosomal RNA is filed under the name uncultured bacterium. RNAcentral describes it as "partial 16S ribosomal RNA". It matches the Rfam family "Bacterial small subunit ribosomal RNA", at positions 337 to 586 of the family's 1533-position model. The record is from RNAcentral.
CCCUACGGGAGGCAGCAGUAGGGAAUCUUCCACAAUGGGCGAAAGCCUGAUGGAGCAACGCCGCGUGAGUGAAGAAGGGUCUCGGCUCGUAAAGCUCUGUUGGUAGAGAAGAAAGAUAGAGGGAGUAACUGGCCUUUAUUUGACGGUAAUUAAUUAGAAAGUCACGGCUAACUACGUGCCAGCAGCCGCGGUAAUACGUAGGUGGCAAGCGUUGUCCGGAUUUAUUGGGCGUAAAGCGAGGGCAGGCGGUUACAUAA